CGCCGUAAACCCAAGGUUUCCUACGCGAUGCUCGUCAUCGUAGGGUUAGUCGGGUCCUAAGCAAAGUCCGAAAGGGGUAUGCGAUGGAAAAUUGGUUAAUAUUCCAAUGCCAACUAUAAUGUGCGAUGGAAGGACGCUUAGAGUUAAGCAAGCUAGCGGAUGGUAGUGCUAGUCGAAAGGUGUAGGUUAAGAUCCAGGCAAAUCCGGAUCUUUUUAAGCCGAGACCCCACAGGCGUUUGAAGUUCUUCGGAAUGGAUAGCGAAUUGCUGAUACUGUCGAGCCAAGAAAAGUUUCUAAGUUUAGUUAUAGUUGCCCGUACCGUAAACCGACACAGGUGGGUGGGAUGAGUAUUCUAAGGCGCGUGGAAGAACUCUCUUCAAGGAACUCUGCAAAAUAGCACCGUAUCUUCGGUAUAAGGUGUGCCUAACUUUGUGAAGGAUUUACUCCGUAAGCAUUGAAGGUUACAACAAAGAGUCCCUCCCGACUGUUUACCAAAAACACAGCACUCUGCUAACUCGUAAGAGGAUGUAUAGGGUGUGACGCCUGCCCGGUGCUCGAAGGUUAAUUGAUGACGUUAGCUCUGCGAAGCGUUUGAUCGAAGCCCGAGUAAACGGCGGCCGUAACUAUAACGGUCCUAAGGUAGCGAAAUUCCUUGUCGAUUAAAUAUCGACCUGCAUGAAUGGCGUAACGAGAUGGGAGCUGUCUCGAAGAGGGAUCCAGUGAAAUUGUAGUGGAGGUGAAAAUUCCUCCUACCCGCGGCAAGACGGAAAGACCCCGUGGACCUUUACUACAGCUUGACACUGCUAUUGGGAUAAAAAUGUGCAGGAUAGGUGGGAGGCUUUGAUCCAUAGACGCCAGUUUAUGGUGAGCCGUUGUUGAGAUACCACUCUUUUUUAUUCUGAUAGCUAACUAGCUUGAGUUAUCCUCAAGUAGGACAAUGUCUGGUGGGUAGUUUGACUGGGGCGGUCGCCUCCCAAAAUGUAACGGAGGCUUACAAAGGUUGGCUCAGAACGGUUGGAAAUCGUUCGCAGAGUAUAAAGGCAAAAGCCAGCUUAACUGCGAGACAUACACGUCAAGCAGGGACGAAAGUCGGUCUUAGUGAUCCGGUGGUUCUGUGUGGAAGGGCCAUCGCUCAAAGGAUAAAAGGUACCCCGGGGAUAACAGGCUGAUCUCCCCCAAGAGCUCACAUCGACGGGGAGGUUUGGCACCUCGAUGUCGGCUCAUCGCAUCCUGGGGCUGGAGCAGGUCCCAAGGGUAUGGCUGUUCGCCAUUUAAAGCGGUACGCGAGCUGGGUUCAGAACGUCGUGAGACAGUUCGGUCCCUAUCUGCCGUGGGCGUAAGAAGAUUGAGGAGAGUUGACCCUAGUACGAGAGGACCGGGUUGAACCGACCACUGGUGUACCAGUUAUCCUGCCAAGGGUAGCGCUGGGUAGCUAUGUCGGGAUGUGAUAACCGCUGAAAGCAUCUAAGCAGGAAGCCAACUCCAAGAUGAAUCUUCUUUUAAGAGCUCUUAUAGACUAUAAGUUUGAUAGGCUGGGUGUGUAAUGGAUGAAAGUCCUUUAGCUGACCAGUACUAAUAGCUCGUCUGCUUAUCUUUU
RNAcentral lists this ribosomal RNA (1597 nucleotides) under human oral metagenome. Its description in RNAcentral is "bacterial LSU rRNA". It matches the Rfam family "Bacterial large subunit ribosomal RNA", at positions 1335 to 2925 of the family's 2925-position model. The record is from RNAcentral.